UACGGAGGGGGCAAGCGUUAUCCGGAAUGAUUGGGCGUAAAGCGUCCGCAGGUGGCAAUGUAAGUCUGCUGUUAAAGAGUCUAGCUCAACUAGAUAAAAGCAGUGGAAACUACAUAGCUAGAGUACGUUCGGGGCAGAGGGAAUUCCUGGUGUAGCGGUGAAAUGCGUAGAGAUCAGGAAGAACACCAGUGGCGAAGGCGCUCUGCUAGGCCGUAACUGACACUGAGGGACGAAAGCUAGGGGAGCGAAUGGG
RNAcentral lists this ribosomal RNA (253 nucleotides) under uncultured bacterium. RNAcentral's name for it is "partial 16S ribosomal RNA". It matches the Rfam family "Bacterial small subunit ribosomal RNA", at positions 524 to 776 of the family's 1533-position model. The record is from RNAcentral.